CAACACAUCGUUUAAGCCUGUCUGAAACACUAGUGACUGAAUUCCAGAAGAUGGGAGAUUGGGAUAUAAAGGAGGAGAUAGCAGAAUCUCCAGGAUCCAGCUUCCCAUCUAUGAGGAGUGACUUGUCCAAAGAACAUCUACUAGACUUCAGUGCAGAACCUGGACCCUCAGACAUAAAAUGGAGGAAGAGGAGUAAACCCCAGUGUGGAGAAAGACCCAAAACUGAAGCUGGAUAGCUGACAGCCAAUCAGAUCAGCUUUGCAGCAGG
Molecule: long non-coding RNA, 268 nt
Organism: Cyprinodon tularosa
Lineage: Eukaryota; Metazoa; Chordata; Actinopteri; Cyprinodontiformes; Cyprinodontidae
Exons: 3
Source: RefSeq, a predicted model, not a curated record